Cucumis melo (muskmelon) is the source of this 2735-nucleotide RNA transcript. It is a transcript of the gene named exocyst complex component EXO70B1, with no coding region annotated. The transcript has 3 exons. The record is from RefSeq and is a predicted model, not a curated record. Lineage: Eukaryota; Viridiplantae; Streptophyta; Magnoliopsida; Cucurbitales; Cucurbitaceae.
UUUCCAAAGAAAUUUUGUUUUAACAAAGUCUCAUAAAUUCUUGACCCUUCAUCUCUCAUUUCUCUUCUCUCAAACCCUUGUUUUAUUCUCUUUCUUUUAAUUUUCUUACAUCCUUCCGUAUUUUGGGGGUUCGAAUCUUGUUUGAGAGUGUUUGUUUGAUUAACGGAAAGUGUGAAGAAUGGCGACGACGACCACCAGUGUUGGCGGUGGGGGUGGGGGUGGGGGUGGUGGUGGUGGUGGGGAGGAUAGAGUUAUGGCUACGGCUCAGCAGAUAUUGAAUAGCCUUAAUACGCCUAAGGAUGUUCGAGACGAUAUGCUUUUGAUCUUCUCUAGUUUUGAUAAUCGUCUUUCUAAUAUCACCAGUUUGGUCAAUAGUGGGGAUUCGAAGAAAGAGGAGGAUCGAUUCGAAGCUGCGGAGAAGGUGAUUCUUCGUUGGGAUUCUGGUCAUGGAGCUUCUCGGAACUCGAUUAAUUGGGAGGACUCGCCAGAUGAGGCGGCUGAGUAUUUAACUGCGGUUGAUGAUAUUAUUCAGUGGAUCGACGACUUGUCGAUUCGUUCGGAUUCUGCUGAGAUCGUCGACCGUGCUGAGAACGCGAUCCAGAUCGCUAUGUCGAGGCUUGAGGAUGAGUUUCGUCAUAUGUUGAUUCGGAGCACCGUUCCUCUCGAUGCGGACCAUCUCUACGGUUCAAUUCGUAAGGUUUCCCUCUCUUUUGCUUCACACGACAGCGAAAAUUCCGAUGAAUUUGAGUCGUUUGCUGAUGCUCACCGUGGUUCCGGAAUCUAUCAUGAGCGUGGUGUCAGUUUGGGAGAUGAUUUGCGGGUUGAUUUGAUCCAUCCUGACGCCGUUGUUGAUUUGAAGGAGAUCGCCGACCGGAUGAUUCGGUCUGGAUACGAGAAAGAGUGUGUUAAUGUGUAUACUGGUGUUCGUCGCGAUGCUUUAGAUGAGUGCUUGGUUGUUCUUGGAGUUGAGAAGCUAAGUAUUGAGGAUGUUCAGAAAAUUGACUGGAAAAUCUUAGACGAGAAGAUGAAGAAAUGGAUCCAAGCUGUUAAGGUCAGCGUUCGAGUACUUUUGACGGGGGAGAAGCGACUGUGCGACUAUAUCUUUAGUGGCUCCGAUGAUUCUGAGGAAGUCUGCUUCAAUGAGACUGCCAAAGGGUGCAUCAGACAAUUACUGAAUUUUGCAGAAGCCAUUGCUAUAGGGGAAAGGUCAGUGGAGAAGCUAUUUCGUAUUCUAGAUAUGUAUGAAGCUCUGGAAUACGUUUUCCCAGAAUUGCAGGCUAUGGUCACUGAUGAAUUUGUGAUCGAGGAGGCGCGAGGAGUACUUUCUAGGCUGGGAGAGGCCGCCAAAGGUACAUUUGUUGAAUUUGAGAAUGCUGUUCGGAGUGAAACUUCUAAGAAAACAAUGUUAAAUGCUGAGAUUCACCCGCUCACUCGUUAUGUCAUGAAUUACUUAACAUUGGUUGUGGUUUAUAGUAAGACUCUUGAUGCACUUUUAGAAGGUGACGAUGAGGAUUUGCAUCACCUAGGGGUUGAUGGUGCUGAAAAUUUGGAGUUAGAAACUAUGUCACCUUUAGGUCGUCGUUUGUUUUCAUUGAUAGCAACACUGGAGACCAAUCUAGAGAGAAAAUCCAAACUCUAUGGUGAUGAUUCAAUACAAUAUAUAUUCCUCAUGAACAAUAUACAAUAUAUUGUGCAAAAAGUGAAAGAUUCUGAGCUUGGAAAGCUUUUGGGCGACCGCUGGGUACGGAAGCGCCGAGGCCAGGUUCGCAUAUAUGCAACAAACUAUCUUAGGGCGUCUUGGGGCAAAUUAUUAUCUUUUUUGAAGGAAGAAGGUACUGGUGGGAGCUCCAACAGUGCCCUGAAACUAGCUACUUUGAAGGAAAAAUUCAAAAAUUUCAAUGCUGGCUUUGAGGAAAUCUAUAGAGUUCAGACAGGUUGGAAGGUUCCAGAUGCUCAACUACGAGAAGAGCUCCGAAUUUCAGUGUCCGCAAAAGCUCUACCUGCUUAUCGUGCCUUCUUGGGAAGACAUGGAAGUCAGUUAGAGAAUACAAGACAUGCUGGGAGGUAUAUAAAGUACACAUCAGAUGACUUGGAAGGCUAUCUAUUGGAUUUGUUUGAAGGAUCAUCUUGUGUUAUACAUCACUUACGAAGAAAAAGUAGUUCAUAGAGAGAUACUGAACCGACUCUAUUGACAGGCUAUAAGUAUGAUCCACCUGGUUGAAUCCAAGUACUUCUAUGGCUAACUCUGAGCUUUGGUUUUUGACAAGUUUGGAUGGGGAAACAAUCAAUUUUGAAGGUCUUAUUGGUGGCAAUUUCAUAGUCUUUUAUGGCUUUUAGUUGUUUUAGUAAAUUACCAUCUAUCUGUUGUUUUCUUGUUGAGACUUGAGAGAAACAUCUUCUUCAGCAGCUUAUCUAAAAUGGGAGAUGUUCAUUUCCUCCUUCCCAUAUUCCUGGAUGUUUUAGCCAAUGAACCACACCAACGCAUAUUGUCAAGAGAAAAGAUGUCUGUUCUUAUGGUCUGAGAUGUCUGUUCUUGUAAUGGUAUGAAGAUCCUAUACGUGAUGAUUUGGCUUCACCUUGCAAGACACUUUAAUAUGCCUUUUAAGCCAUCAAAAACUUGCAUCAAGGCUUUAAUCAAAGCUUAGAAAGCUUGAUUUAUCCACUAUUGAUGGCUUAAAUUUGUGGCUAAAUGUGAAUAAUCUCCUCCAUGAUUAAUGGCUUUGUUUGAGGCUCUA